RNAcentral lists this unclassified non-coding RNA (444 nucleotides) under uncultured Russula. RNAcentral describes it as "sequence contains ITS2". The stretch from base 1 to 154 matches the Rfam family "5.8S ribosomal RNA". The record is from RNAcentral. Lineage: Eukaryota; Fungi; Basidiomycota; Agaricomycetes; Russulales; Russulaceae.
AACUUUUAACAAUGGAUCUCUUGGCUCUCGCAUCGGUGAAGAACGCAGCGAAAUGCGAUACGUAAUGUGAAUUGCAGAAUUCAGUGAAUCAUCGAAUCUUUGAACGCACCUUGCGCCCCUUGGCAUUCCGAGGGGCACACCCGUUUGAGUGUCGUGAAAUUCUCAAACCUUCUUGGUUUCUUGACCAAGAUGGCUUUGGACUUUGGAGGUAUCUUGCUGGCUUUGCAAAAAGCCGGCUCCUCUUAAAUGCAUUAGUGGGGUCUCCUUUGCCGAUCCCCAGGCGUGAUAAGUUGCUUCUACGUCUUGGGAUUUGCUCUGUUCCUUGAGAACCUGCUUCCAAUCGUCUCAUCGAAGACAUCGUUCGAGCUUGCUCGACCCACGAACCUUGACCUCAAAUCGGGUGAGACUACCAGCUGAACUUAAGAAUAUCAAUAAGAGGAGGCU